Non-coding RNA from Homo sapiens (human), 148 nucleotides. It matches the Rfam family "Metazoan signal recognition particle RNA". Rfam says of the family: The signal recognition particle (SRP) is a universally conserved ribonucleoprotein. NCBI's taxonomy places the organism in Eukaryota, Metazoa, Chordata, Mammalia, Primates, Hominidae. The record is from Rfam.
GCCAGGUAUGGUGGCACAUGUCUGUAGUCCUAGCUACUUGGGAGGCUGAGGCAGGAGAAUUGCUUGAACCUAGGAGUCUGAGUACGCAGUGAGCCAUGAUGGUGCCACUGCACUCUAGCCUGGGUGACAAAGUGAGACCCUGUCUCUA